UACGGAGGGUGCAAGCGUUGUUCGGAAUUAUUGGGCGUAAAGAACGUGUAGGCGGGCCUGUGUGUCAGAUGUGAAAGCCCUCGGCUCAACCGAGGAAGUGCAUCUGAAACUGCAGAUCUUGAGUACGAGAGAGGAGAGUGGAAUUCCCAGUGUAGAGGUGAAAUUCAUAGAUAUUGGGAAGAACACCGGCGGCGAAAGCGGCUCUCUGGCUCGAUACUGACGCUGAGACGUGAAAGCGUGGGUAGCAAACAGG
This 253-nucleotide ribosomal RNA is filed under the name uncultured bacterium. Its description in RNAcentral is "partial 16S ribosomal RNA". It matches the Rfam family "Bacterial small subunit ribosomal RNA", at positions 524 to 776 of the family's 1533-position model. The record is from RNAcentral.